AUCUAACUAACGAGUCCCUAAUAGGACGAAAUGCUCACCUUAGAU
This 45-nucleotide non-coding RNA is filed under the name Schistosoma margrebowiei. The record is from RNAcentral. Lineage: Eukaryota; Metazoa; Platyhelminthes; Trematoda; Strigeidida; Schistosomatidae.